UCUCUCUCCUUUUAUAUGAUCUUCAUUUACAUUCAUUCAUUUUAUGUGUAUAUAAAGAUGGGCACACAUAGGGGAACUUAUCAGAUACAGCAUAUACCUUUCGGGUGCAAUUAUUUACGUCUACUGAAAACUUGCAUUCAAUACAUUUCUUGCAUGUUCAGAAUCACGAAAGGCAUAAAGCUACAGAACAGAUAAAAAUUUUCAAUUCUUCAGUGAGUUUUCGCAAGUUUACAGAAUGUGGACUUCAUGUGAGAACUUUCUGCAGGAAUGUUAGGUAUGAGAACAUCAACUAUUUCAUAUCUUUCACACUCAAAAAGAACCUAUCCAGCCACUUAAAUAUUACGCCUGCUGUUAAACAUUGGAACAACAGUGAAUGUAAUGAACCCACCACACGGUGACAUCCUGACACCUUGAGAAAACACAGCUGUCUGCUUUCCAACUCAUUUUACUAAAGCAAUUCAAUUCAUGCAUAUUCAAACCUCCACCACAUGUUAAAUAGAAAGUCUUUUAAUAUGUAUGCGAUAUGUUUUGAGUACCGUUGUUUUCAUCAGUACUUCUGCUCUCGAUGCACUCUCUUGGCGUGUAUGCACAGUUGUGUAUGCCUGAAGUGGUGAUAUGCUCCAUUUCAAGGAAAUUAAUAAUAAAGCAAUGAGGAAGUCACUCAUGCAGAUGCACCUGGUGCUGCACACACACAAAGAAUUUUACUCUCUUGGGCUUCUUUUGUCCCCUAAUGAAAAUCCUCAAUCUUGCCUACACUUCCAUUAUUUAACACUCUACACUCGCUACAUUUCUGUCUGGACUUAUCUUGUCCCUACGCAAUAAUCAUUUAUGUUGUGUGAAUUUUUUUCUUUAACUCCAUGCUCCUGGUACUUAAAAGUCAUGAACGGAAUGCAUGUAUCAGCAUUACUGAGAGAGAGAAAUAGAAGACAGGAAAGGCAGGGAGGUUAACCAGAUGCACGUCCGAUUUGCUAUCCUGCACUGGGCGAAGGGGGCAUGGGGAUGAAGAGAAAGAGAGGAGAGAGAGAGCACAGUUUCGCACACAGUGGAAGGUUCGCACCGAGUCUACAGUCUGUUCCCAAGACUUGUUCACUUGAGGUAUUUCAGGAGAGCUUUCGUGGCCUUCUUUGCCAUAGAUGCGAAUGACCAGGGUCCAAGGAUCUUCAUUACGGAAAAUGGUCUAGAGUCCAGCUGGUUCAGUGCUGUCUGGAGAACUUUACGCUCGACGUCGUAUUGGGGACAUAUACAUAGGAUGUGUUCAAUCGUUUCUGUGGUUUUGCUAGAGUCGCACAUGGGCGUAUCCCCCAUUCCAAUGCGGAACGAGUAGGCCUUCGUAAAUGCCACCCGGAGCCAGAGGUGGCACAAUACUGUCGCCUCAGAGCGGGAAAUUUUUGAUGGCACUUGUAGCUUUAAGGAUAGAUCCAGCCUAUGAAAAUGACACUUCAGGACAUUGGGAGAAGACCAGUAUUUGUGGGUCAUAGCUUUAGCCACAAUAUGAAGCUGCCUUGCAGCAUUGGUUCUUGAUAAGGGCAUUGGAACUGAUCAGGCAUCCAGAUGAACAGACCGGCAGCUUCGUCAAUGAGGUCAUUACCAGCAAUACCGGUAUGUCCAGGUAGCCACUGGAAUAUAAUUUCAUGCCCUUUAGCAAUAGCUUGAUAGCGAUCUUCUUUUAUUUCGUGUGUCAGCUGCUCAUGACUCCUACGAUAUAUGGCAAAAUGCAGACUCUGAAGUGCUGCCUUAGAGUCGCAAAAAAUGACCCAUUUCGGAGUUGUCUCUUGCAGGAGAUAUUUGACAGCAGCAUGCAGGGCAGCAAGCUCUGCCCUGCAUUACACAGCAUUCCUGACAAAGUUAUGGGUGUGCAGCACUAGAGAAGAAGUGCACGCAAGACAGAUUACAAAUAUUGUCUGGGGACAUGGUGAGCUCCAAAGGGUGCAUAUUUUUUCUUCGAGUGAGCACUAACAUUUUACACACCUUAGGGUAAUUUUUUUCACAAUGAUCAUCAUCAGGACUGUGUGUGUUUCCUUUCUUACCUAUCUGUCAGGAAAUGCACAGAAGACAUAACUAAGAAGUAAAAGACAUAGUGCGGAAAGACAAGGACAAAUACAAGGGGCACAAGAGACAGGUGCUAAACACAAAACUACAGCUGAAGACCCGAUACAUAUGCCUUUAUAUGCACAUAGUACUGCCUAUUGAAACUGAUGGCUGUUGACUUGAUGUAAAACUCAAGUACAGCAAUGAAGUUGUCACUGGUCACCCCUGUGACGUUUUGGAAUGUGAAUUCAUGAUUCUUUUUUAUUGUGUCACGCACAGCACAACAGUUUACAAUGAGGUACAAAAUAGAAUAAAUCCUCGGUGUCAAUUGAAAAGUUUGUGAGGCUAUUCACUUUUCCCUCUCUGAGUUCCUCGACAAUGCUGAAGUAGCUGCAAACAAGGAACAAUUCUUCUAUAUUUUAGGAACUUUGAUGCUGUUGUAAGUAACAUAGGAUGAGGCAUUGCCAUUAACUUUUCUCCAUAAUUAUCAUUCACAGCGGACAGUCUGGCCUGUGUGUUUUUUUUUUUGUGUGUGCUUCUAAGGAACUGCCUGCUGCCUUUUUUGAAGUGUGUCCAGUCUCAAAUCCUUCAUUAGACUGUUUGCCGUCCUUUUUUUGAAGCUUAAGGUUAGAACUUGUGCGCUUGAAGCUUUUUUUCUCUAUAGCAGCUAGGAUUUCUUUCCUCAACCUUCCCUUUGGACAUGACAAUGAACCCCGCUUGUCCCACAAUAAAAAUCGUAAUCAACCUU
Molecule: long non-coding RNA, 2776 nt
Filed under: Dermacentor andersoni
Lineage: Eukaryota; Metazoa; Arthropoda; Arachnida; Ixodida; Ixodidae
Description: uncharacterized LOC126520952
Source: RNAcentral